RNAcentral lists this long non-coding RNA (1748 nucleotides) under Homo sapiens (human). Its description in RNAcentral is "HSALNT0222161". Lineage: Eukaryota; Metazoa; Chordata; Mammalia; Primates; Hominidae. The record is from RNAcentral.
UGCAGCCCGUGCCCUUCCCCCACGACGCCCUGGCAGGCCCCGGCAUCCCGAGGCACGCCCGGCAGAUCAACACACUCAGCCACGGGGAGGUGGUGUGUGCCGUGACCAUCAGCAACCCCACGAGGCACGUCUACACAGGUGGCAAGGGCUGCGUGAAGAUCUGGGACAUCAGCCAGCCAGGCAGCAAGAGCCCCAUCUCCCAGCUGGACUGCCUGGUGAGAAUCCCAGGGCUGCUGCGCCGCCUCCAGCUGGUGUAGGAGGAUGGGGCAGCCUGGGCCACAGGGGAGAGCCCCAGGGCCUGGCUCAGCAUCGUAUUGGCUGAGCAACUUUAGGCAAGCUGACUAACCUCUCUGAGCCUCAGUUGUGCCUUCUGUGUGUGGGGCUGAUUCUGACCUCCUGGUAUUCAUGAAAGAUCAAAGGGUUGUGAAUUUGAGGAAUGGGGACAGCCUGGCAGCUGCUGGGUAUAGGGGGAGGCUGUAAGCAGGACUGGUGAGGGUGCUCGGUGUUGCUGGACAGGACUCUCCUGGUGCCCAGGAGGGGAAGUAGGCAGCACUCAGCCCUGCCCCUUCUCCCUCCAGAACAGGGACAAUUACAUCCGCUCCUGCAAGCUGCUCCCUGAUGGGCGCACGCUCAUCGUGGGCGGCGAGGCCAGCACGCUCACCAUCUGGGACCUGGCCUCGCCCACGCCCCGCAUCAAGGCCGAGCUGACGUCCUCGGCUCCCGCCUGUUAUGCCCUGGCCAUUAGCCCUGACGCCAAAGUCUGCUUCUCCUGCUGCAGCGAUGGGAACAUUGCUGUCUGGGACCUGCACAACCAGACCCUGGUCAGGCAGUUCCAGGGCCACACAGAUGGGGCCAGCUGCAUAGACAUCUCCCAUGAUGGCACCAAACUGUGGACAGGGGGCCUGGACAACACGGUGCGCUCCUGGGACCUGCGGGAGGGCCGACAGCUACAGCAGCAUGACUUCACUUCCCAGAUCUUCUCGCUGGGCUACUGCCCCACUGGGGAGUGGCUGGCUGUGGGCAUGGAGAGCAGCAACGUGGAGGUGCUGCACCACACCAAGCCUGACAAGUACCAGCUGCACCUGCACGAGAGCUGCGUGCUCUCCCUCAAGUUCGCCUACUGCGGCAAGUGGUUCGUGAGCACUGGGAAAGAUAACCUUCUCAACGCCUGGAGGACGCCUUAUGGAGCCAGCAUAUUCCAGGUCGGAGCAUCAGAGAGGGGCAGAGGAGGGCAAUUGUUGCCGAGAGAACCGAGAUGGUGUUGAGCACUGGAAAAUGAAUUCCUGUCUUUUUUCUCCCUGCACCCCACGCCUUCCUGCUGCUUCUCCUCGUCUUCCUCCUCCAGUCUAAAGAAUCCUCGUCUGUCUUGAGUUGUGACAUUUCAGCGGAUGACAAAUACAUUGUAACAGGCUCUGGUGACAAGAAGGCCACAGUUUAUGAGGUCAUCUACUAAACAAGAACUCCAGCAGGGCUGUCAAACUCUGGGAGAAACCGACUCGGCUCUGACAGGGAGACCCCCAGGCGAGGGGCCCCGAGGAUGGCGGAGGAUGGGCCGCAGGCAGCCGAGCGUUCAGGGCUGCGCUCCGGCCGGCUGAGAGGGCACGUGCCCCGUCACAGUCUGGACUCCUGGGCCUGGAUUGAUGUGUCUCACAGACUCGGAAGGGUUCUGCUCCUCCUCCUCCCCCUGAACAAUGCUGGCAGUUGCUACAAAUAGAUUUAUUGGAGGCUUAUGGCUCCGGUUCCCCCAC